AGUCGAGCGGUAACAGGAGUAGCUUGCUACUCGCUGACGAGCGGCGGACGGGUGAGUAACGCGUAGGAAUCUGCCUAAUAGUUGGGGAUAGCCCGGGGAAACCCGGAUUAAUACCGAAUACGCUCUACGGAGGAAAGCAGGGGAUCUUCGGACCUUGCGCUAUUAGAUGAGCCUGCGUGAGAUUAGCUAGUUGGUGAGGUAAUGGCUCACCAAGGCGACGAUCUCUAGCUGGUCUGAGAGGAUGAUCAGCCACACUGGGACUGAGACACGGCCCAGACUCCUACGGGAGGCAGCAGUGGGGAAUAUUGCACAAUGGGCGCAAGCCUGAUGCAGCCAUACCGCGUGUGUGAAGAAGGCCUUAGGGUUGUAAAGCACUUUCAGUAGUGAGGAAAGGGGUGUAGUUAAUACCUGCAUCCUGUGACGUUAGCUACAGAAGAAGCACCGGCUAAUUCCGUGCCAGCAGCCGCGGUAAUACGGAAGGUGCGAGCGUUAAUCGGAAUUACUGGGCGUAAAGCGCGCGUAGGUGGUUCAGUCAGUCAGAUGUGAAAGCCCCGGGCUCAACCUGGGAACUGCACCUGAUACUGCUGGACUUGAGUACGGUAGAGGGUAGUGGAAUUUCCUGUGUAGCGGUGAAAUGCCUAGAUAUAGGAAGGAACACCAGUGGCGAAGGCGACUACCUGGACCGAUACUGACACUGAGGUGCGAAAGCGUGGGGAGCAAACAGGAUUAGAUACCC
This 736-nucleotide ribosomal RNA is filed under the name uncultured Oceanospirillales bacterium. RNAcentral describes it as "bacterial SSU rRNA". It matches the Rfam family "Bacterial small subunit ribosomal RNA", at positions 60 to 787 of the family's 1533-position model. The record is from RNAcentral. Lineage: Bacteria; Pseudomonadati; Pseudomonadota; Gammaproteobacteria; Oceanospirillales.